This 5975-nucleotide long non-coding RNA is filed under the name Oryza sativa (Asian cultivated rice). RNAcentral's name for it is "long non-coding RNA (OSAT_LNC000260)". The record is from RNAcentral. Lineage: Eukaryota; Viridiplantae; Streptophyta; Magnoliopsida; Poales; Poaceae.
CAGUCAUAAAUGCUUUCUGGAAUUGUACCAUUGAAGUUGUUCACGAGAAGAUCAAUUAUCAUUAGAUUAGAUAGGCUGGAAAAGUUGAUCUUGCCAAGGUCUCCACUGAGGUAGUUGAUCUUGAGGUCGAGGAUUUUGAGAUUUGUGCAGUUGCCUAAAGUUAAUGGCAGCUCUCCAUACAUAUUGUUGUGGCCCAAAUGGAGUUCCUCCAAUCUCUUGAGCUGACCUAUCGAGUUGGGUAUUUUGCCAAUAAACAUAUUCCUUUCGAGAUCUAGGAUUGACAAUUUUCUGAGUUUUAUGAUAUUGGCAUCAUCAAGUACUCCAUUUAGAACAUUGUCUGGGAAAGAAAGGUACUCCAACGAUGAAGCAUUGAAUAGUUCAUCUGGGAGAGCACCAUGGAAGUUGUUGUGGCCACCCUUGAGAACUCUAAGCAUCGAGCAAUUGCCUAUGUCCUGGGGUACGCUACCGCCAAAUCGAUUGAAAGAGAGGUCAAGCUCAGUGAUGGAUGGUGCACUGAUGCAGAAAGAACUUGGUGCCUGUCCCGUAAAGCUGUUGUUACUGGCAUUCAGAGCCACCAGAUUGUUCAUCACCUUCCAUGUGUUUGUUGGAAAUUGUGCUGUAAAUAAGUUGCUCGAGAUGUUGAGUACCUGCAGAGGCCGGAUAGUUGUUUCACUUAUUUGAGCUGAGAACUCCUGCAGAGCUCCACUUAAGUGAUUGAAGCUGAUGUCAAGGAUGACGAGGCUGGUUGACGACACCAACUCCUCCAAUGGAAGUUCACCGGAGAGCAAAUUGUGGGACAGGUUGAGGCGCAUCAGGCCGGUGAGGUUGCCAAGGUAUGGUGAGAUGUGCCCUUCAAGGCCCUUAGAAACCAGCGAAAUUUCGGUGAUCGUUGCAUCUGUGCCGCAGGUGAUCCCUUCCCAUGUGCAGCAAUCCGUGUCAUUCUGCCAUGACACGGCGAGGCCACCGUCCUCCGAGAGGCCGGCAAGGAACUGGAGGAAGAAGCUCUUCUCAUGAUCUUUGCAGGAGCUGGUGGAAGAGGCUAAACUCAGUAAUAGCACAACAGCAAACCCAAGUAAAUCCAUGGGAAAUUUGCUGCUGCUUCUGCUGCAUGGAAACUGGGAAGGUCUCAUGGUGGAUUUUUUUUUCUUCUCAGAAUGGGUACAGUUUGGAUAGAUCACUAUGCAGUAGUAUUAUAUUGAGUAAAGAUACUUUAGAGGUGAAUAAUAGCCACAGCCUGCAAUGCCCAUUUGCUACCGAUGGUUAGUUUCAGAAGAACUUUGCUACCGAUGGUCCUUGUUCAUUGAUUGCGCAGAAAGUAAUACCGAUGACUAUGUUAUCCCGUGCCUGUCCAAUUGUUGCAUUGGUUCAGACAACUGUGACGACCGCUGUUUCAAGCUUGACAAUUGACAAAACUAUGAAAAAUCCUGGUCGCCUCCUGCUGUCAUCUUUGCCUGUCUUCAGCCGCCAACACUGCAGCAAUAUCAGCUAAGUUCUUCUCUUUGUUUGUUUCCAUUUUUUCCCCUCGCUUUGAUUGAUGGUGUAAAAUUGAAGGUGCUAGCAACAAAUUUUGGUACCUCACACCCCAUCAGCAACUAAGUUGCUUGACCAUUUCUUUGUUGCUGCUGCUCUUUGCUCGACCUUCCUGGCCAAAGAAAAGCUAUUUUCUUUUGCAACCAUUCUUAGUUAAAUCCUUGUCACAUUGACAUUUUUACAUCAUCCUGAUGACUUCUCUUGGCUCUUGCAGCUUCAGAUGAUAGACGUGCUUGCUUGCCACCAAAAAGGAGAAAUGCAAGCAUAUGUUUCAUGAAACAGCCUGAGCUCAAUUGACCAAAGGCUGAAGCAACAUGCUAGGGGAAAAAAACAGUUGUUAUGUUUUUUAUCCAUUCAGUUAAAACUUAUAAGUAGUAAGCACAAGAGAGGCAGCAAGGCCAGCAAAAUUCAGAUGACUACUCAGAUGCAGCAUGAAAGUGGAGUACAUAUCCUGACCUGGAACAUAUGGACAGGAUAUCAGGAUCUUAAACUGCCUUCAUGAUCCAGUCCAUUUUGACUGUGCGCAAGAGCCCUUUCUUGGCUAGCUGCUUCUCCCAAUUGAUUUUUGAGUGUCCCAACAUGCACUGUUUUACAACGAUCUACGUUGAGCAAUGAAUGUUUUACAAAUAAGUUCACAUCGGAAUAUACUUUGUUCCUAUUAUUAUUGCUUAUUACUCUCUUUGUUUUAUAUUAGAGUAAAUUUCAUCUUGAACCACCUAUAUUGACCAAUGUGGCAUAAUGGGCUAGGGCUAAGUUUCUCUUUUCACUUAACACCACCUAAUUUUACAAUCUUUUUCAAGUUGGACCAAGUUUACGGCAUGGGCUGCGUUUCGGCCUAAUCCACGCGAGCAGCUGGUGUUUGCUCAUGGUGGCAGUGGUGCGCGAUACCAGGAGCGUGCGCGACGCGUUGGUGUGGUCAUCGGCGAGGGCGAGCAUGUCGUCGUCCAGUGGACACGGACUCUGUGGUGAUAACGCUCGGCCCUGUCGCGCUCAAAACAAUACUACGGCACAUCUGAUUACGUUGACAGGAUCUGAGACCAUACCAGAACUAUCCCAUUCAGAUCAUGCAUGUGAAUCAAGAUCCGAUCUUCUCUUUAAUUUUCUUGUGAAAAUUCGACAUGUUUCCGGUUACCAACCGAGGAACACGGAUUAAUUACUCUAGUUUUUUCGAAGAGCAGCAGAGGAAUAUUGAUUACCCCCACAAAACCCAAAUCUCAUAGGAAUUACUGAAUGCAUUGCUUUGUUUCACUCUCCCAAGCCCCAGGGUCAAAACUUUCCUCCAUGGAUUGCUCCAUGAUCGAAUCGCAGAUGCAUAUACCUGUCUACCUCAUAAACCCAACAAGCAUCCUAGCAACGAGGCAGCCGACGACCCCAGUGAUUCCAUCCUCGGGAAGCCAUCGAUCGAGGUGGCAUGGGCGUCCACCAGGCAGAGGCCCUUUGGCCUGACGCUGGCGACACGGUUGGAUGACGAGACUUGCUCCACCUUGGCGCCGGUGGACGGUGGACACGGUGGCGUUUGUGUUUCGAUUGUUGAGUUCACGCCGCUGCACAGCAGCCGUGUGUGAACAGAGACUUUUUUGGGUUGGGAAGGAAGUACUCGUACCAGAGAGGGAGGCAGAACCGCCGUCGAGGGAGCCCUCGCCGGAGCCCCGAGACGGGGACUGCCGACCGCUGGUAAACGCACCUAUUUGCGUGGGCCGAAGCCCAGCCUAGUGGGCCAAUCAGUAAACCUGGUUCAACUUGCAAAGGAUGGUAAAAAUAGGUGGUGUAAAGUGAAAAAAGUGACCCACCCCUAUCCCAAUGUGCAACUUAGGUCAAUAUAAGUGGUCUAAAGUGAAAUUUACUCUUUAUAUUAUAUAAGACACUUUGACUUUUUUUUCUUAAACUAUUUAAAAUUUGACUAAAUUUAUAGAAACACAACAACAUUUUUAACACCAAACAAAUAUGGUAUAAAAAUAUACCAAAAACUAAUUGGUGUUAUAAGAGUAGUUAUAUUUAUAUACCUCUAUAAUUUUGAUUUAGAAAAAAAAUAAAAUGCUUAUAAUAUGAAGAGGGUGUAGUGCUUAGGUUCCAGAAUCCAGCUAGGAACUGGAGCAGGUACCGAGGCAUCAGCACAAGAAAUAUGGAUAGUUUGUGGCUGCUGGACUGCUGGUGCUGGAUGAAUAAUUAUUUUUCCCCUGGAAAAGGACAUUGGUUUGGUCACAUCCAUGUGAUUUUUUUUUUCAAAAUUGUACUUUACUGCGUUUAAUUUUUUUUGGGCGAAAACUAACACGGUUGAUAUGGAUUGUUUUUUUUUCUCUCUUCAAAACAGUACUUUAUUGCGCUUGAUUUUUUUUUGGCAAAAACUAACACGGUUAAUAUGAUAUGGAGUGCUUGCGGUGGAAUGGAAUGACCAUGGCGCCACGCUGGGUGCAGUUGCCAUAUUUGUUCGUAGCGGCUUAAAAGUUAACGCUAAAAAAACUACAUUAAAAAUAUAUUAAAAUGCUUUGCAAAAAAAGAUUAAAAUUAAGUUUAAAAUUCAAAUUUAAGAUUUUGCUUUAACUUAUUAGGCCAAUGAGGUGCGGGCUCACCGGCCGCCGGCGAAGACAAGAGAGUGCUCCACGAGUUCACGGUAGGACGAUUUACGUGCGGCCCAUUUUUGUUGGGCCGUAACUGGAUUGUAACUAGAAUGCGGCCCAUAAUAGUUGGUCCAGGACGGGAUUUCGAUUACGUGAGGCCCAAAUAUGGGAUUAGUUGAGUAGGGCAAGGGCCCAAGACUUGGCCCAAUUGCCACAGGCACCGUCUCGUCGUCUCCGUGGCGACAGCGCCGCCGCUGCUCUGUCGCCGGCGGCCAGCGCAACCGCCGCCUCUUCGGCUCGCCGGCGGCGCGCGGGGACUCGAGGAAGGCCUCUGCGUCGCCGUCACUACUACCCAUAGCUCGAGUAUGCAACGCGUGGCCAUCUCCAUCUGCUCUCUAUUACUACUAUUUUCUUAGCGUGAAUCUGAAAAUUGAAGCGAUAUAGUUGCAGACGAUGGGGAUUCUCAAACUAUACAUACUAGUUCUGAUAGAGACAAAUUUGCACAUGAUUUUCACGAAUUUGAGUAGUGACCAUCAUUCAGAAUGCUCAAUCUGCACACCUGAGUUGUGGCAGCUAGAUUCUUGUCUUCAACUCUGUUCAUAGAGUUGGAAAAUUAAUAUGCCUUGAAGAGAUCUUAGCCUUUUUAGUACCAUCUGAUCUAAUAGCACACCAUAAGCAAAGAACAGGCCAAAUGUGAUGCCAAAGAUAACCUUGUCACCGAAUUGAUCUGUGGAUGAAGUAGGGCUAGGAAGUGCUCUUGCUGAAUUACAGUGGUGACUGAGCAUACCACCACAUAGCUUUGGAUUACCAGUGAAGCUUGAGUUGUCAAAUGUAUCAAACUGGCCUCCAGUUGGAAUAGCCCCUUCCAGGUCGUUGUUGUAAACAUUGAAUGCAGAAAGGAAGUUUAGCUUGUUCAGUUCUAAAGGGAUUGUGCCUGUUAGAUUGUUGUUAGACAAGUCUAGCAUGACCAGCUUGGUGAGGUUGCAGAUUGCUUGUGGGGUCUCCCCAGAGAAGCUAUUGAAGCUCAAGUUGAGCAUAUCGAGUGCCUUCAGCUGACUAAUCUCUGGCGGGAUCGCACCUGUAAAACCAUUUUUGGCUAUGUUUAUUGUUGUGUGGAUAUAUUGGUAUUGUCGGUUUUUGAUGAAUGGAAUGCCGUAAAAUCUCAUGUUUGGGACACUUACAUCCAGAUUGGUUCUCUUGUCUGACUUCAGCAUUGGAAUCUGCGUUAAUAUUGUUGGAAAUUCACCUGUAAGGUUGUUAUUGGAUAUGUCUAGAUAGAAGAGGAAGUUGAGGCUGUUGAUCCAGGCAGGCACUGAUCCGCUUAAUUGAUUAUUGGAUAACUGCAGCACCUUCAAUUUUGUGAGCUUUGAUAGCCAAAGAGAAAUUUUUCCAUGUAAAGAAGAACCACUUAUUUCUAGGUACUGAAGAUUUUCAAAACCAUCCAUUGUUUCAUCUGCUAGCAAUGUCUCAUGGUUGAAGUUCCCUCCAAGAAGUAGAGUUUUUAAGUUGCUAAAGCUCUUGAGGAUGUAAAGUGCCUUCGUGAUAUUCGUAAAAUCAUUCCAACCAACUGACAGGCAGGAAAGAGACCUCAGUCUGUCCAUUCUGUGUGAGAACUCACCAUGGAAUUUGUUCCACGAAAGUCUCAGUGCAAUCAAAUUUGUGCAAUCAUAAAUGCUUUCUGGAAUUGUACCAUUGAAGUUGUUCACGAGAAGAUCAAUUAUCAUUAGAUUAGAUAGGCUGGAAAAGUUGAUCUUGCCAAGGUCUCCACUGAGGUAGUUGAUCUUGAGGUCGAGGAUUUUGAGAUUUGUGCAGUUGCCUAAAGUUGAUGGCAGCUCCCCAUACAAGUAGUUCUCACCCAAAUGGAGCUCCUUCAAUCUCUUGAGCUGA